This 449-nucleotide ribosomal RNA is filed under the name uncultured bacterium. Its description in RNAcentral is "partial 16S ribosomal RNA". It matches the Rfam family "Bacterial small subunit ribosomal RNA", at positions 29 to 523 of the family's 1533-position model. The record is from RNAcentral.
AGCGAACGCUGGCGGCAGGCCUAACACAUGCAAGUCGAACGAACUCUUCGGAGUUAGUGGCGGACGGGUGAGUAACACGUGGGAACGUGCCUUUAGGUUCGGAAUAACUCAGGGAAACUUGUGCUAAUACUGAAUGUGCCCUUCAGGGGAAAGAUUUAUCGCCUUUAGAGCGGCCCGCGUCUGAUUAGCUGGUUGGUGAGGUAAAGGCUCACCAAGGCGACGAUCAGUAGCUGGUCUGAGAGGAUGAUCAGCCGCAUUGGGACUGGGACACGGCACAAACUCCUACGGGAGGCAGCAGUGGAGAAUCUUGCGCAAUGGGCGAAAGCCUGACGCAGCCAUGCCGCGUGAAUGAUGAAGGUCUUAGGAUUGUAAAAUUCUUUCGCCGGGGACGAUAAUGACGGUACCCGGAGAAGAAGCCCCGGCUAACUUCGUGCCAGCAGCCGCCGCGG